UUGUUGGAGAGUUUGAUCCUGGCUCAGGACGAACGCUGGCGGCGUGCUUAACACAUGCAAGUCGAGCGGAA
Molecule: non-coding RNA, 71 nt
Filed under: Paractinoplanes bogorensis
Lineage: Bacteria; Bacillati; Actinomycetota; Actinomycetes; Micromonosporales; Micromonosporaceae
Also listed under: 2 other names
Description: partial 16S ribosomal RNA
Rfam family: Bacterial small subunit ribosomal RNA
Source: RNAcentral